CCGAGUUUACAACUCCCAAACCCCUGUGAACAUACCUUACUUGUUGCCUCGGCGCGGCUCAGCCCCGGGCCUCCCGGUAAACGAGGAGCAGGCCCGCCAGCGGCCACCUAAACUCUUGUUUCUAUACUGUAAACUCUGAGUAAACCAUAAAUAAAUCA
RNAcentral lists this unclassified non-coding RNA (158 nucleotides) under soil metagenome. RNAcentral's name for it is "partial internal transcribed spacer 1". The record is from RNAcentral.